Molecule: ribosomal RNA, 432 nt
Filed under: uncultured bacterium
Lineage: Bacteria
Description: partial 16S ribosomal RNA
Rfam family: Bacterial small subunit ribosomal RNA
Source: RNAcentral
AACGAACGCUGGCGGCAUGCCUAACACAUGCAAGUCGAACGAGACCUUCGGGUCUAGUGGCGCACGGGUGCGUAACGCGUGGGAACCUGCCCUUAGGUUCGGAAUAACUCCCCGAAAGGGGUGCUAAUACCGGAUAAUGUCUUCGGACCAAAGAUUUAUCGCCUUUGGAUGGGCCCGCGUUGGAUUAGCUAGUUGGUAGGGUAAAAGCCUACCAAGGCGACGAUCCAUAGCUGGUCUGAGAGGAUGAUCAGCCACACUGGGACUGAGGCACGGCCCAGACUCCUACGGGAGGCAGCAGUGGGGAAUAUUGGACAAUGGGCUAAAGCCUGAUCCAGCAAUGCCGCGUGAGUGAUGAAGGCCUUAGGGUUGUAAAGCUCUUUUACCCGGGAUGAUAAUGACAGUACCGGGAGAAUAAGCUCCGGCUAACUCCGU